GGCUCAGGAUGAACGCUAGCGGCAGGCUUAAUACAUGCAAGUCGAGGGGCAGCACGAAUAGCAAUAUUUGGUGGCGACCGGCGCACGGGUGCGUAACACGUAUACAACCUACCUAUAACAGGGGGAUAGCCUUUCGAAAGAGAGAUUAAUACCCCGUAAUAAAUUGAGUGGCAUCACUUGAUUUUGAAAGCUACGGCGGUUAUAGAUGGGUAUGCGUCUGAUUAGCUAGUUGGUGAGGUAACGGCUCACCAAGGCGACGAUCAGUAGGGGAUCUGAGAGGACUAACCCCCACACUGGUACUGAGACACGGACCAGACUCCUACGGGAGGCAGCAGUAAGGAAUAUUGGUCAAUGGAGGCAACUCUGAACCAGCCAUGCCGCGUGCAGGAUGACGGCCCUAUGGGUUGUAAACUGCUUUUGUACCAGAGAAAACCUACUCACGUGUGAGUAGCUGAUAGUAUGGUAUGAAUAAGCAUCGGCUAACUUCGUG
This 490-nucleotide ribosomal RNA is filed under the name uncultured bacterium. RNAcentral's name for it is "bacterial SSU rRNA". It matches the Rfam family "Bacterial small subunit ribosomal RNA", at positions 21 to 507 of the family's 1533-position model. The record is from RNAcentral.